GACGAACGCUGGCGGCGUGCCUAACACAUGCAAGUCGAACGGAGCCAGCCCCCUUCGGGGACUGACUUAGUGGCGAACGGGUGAGUAACGCGUGAGAAACCUGCCUUUCAGUGGGGGACAACAGUUGGAAACGACUGCUAAUACCGCAUAAUGUCAUUUGGGGGCAUCCUCGAAUGACCAAAGAUUUAUUGCUGAAAGAUGGUCUCGCGUCUGAUUAGCUAGAUGGCGGGUAACGGCCCACCAUGGCGACGAUCAGUAGCCGGUCUGAGAGGAUGAACGGCCACAUUGGGACUGAGAUGCGGCCCAGACUCCUACGGGAGGCAGCAGUGGGGAAUAUUGGGCAAUGGGGGAAACCCGUGACCCAGCAACGCCGCGUGAAGGAAGAACGGUUUCGGUAGUUGUAAACUUACUUUAAGUAGGACGGA
This 425-nucleotide ribosomal RNA is filed under the name uncultured bacterium. RNAcentral's name for it is "bacterial SSU rRNA". It matches the Rfam family "Bacterial small subunit ribosomal RNA", at positions 28 to 449 of the family's 1533-position model. The record is from RNAcentral.